GAUGAACGCUGGCGGCGUGCCUAAUACAUGCAAGUCGAGCGAACGGACGAGAAGCUUGCUUCUCUGAUGUUAGCGGCGGACGGGUGAGUAACACGUGGAUAACCUACCUAUAAGACUGGGAUAACUUCGGGAAACCGGAGCUAAUACCGGAUAAUAUUUUGAACCGCAUGGUUCAAAAGUGAAAGACGGUCUUGCUGUCACUUAUAGAUGGAUCCGCGCUGCAUUAGCUAGUUGGUAAGGUAACGGCUUACCAAGGCAACGAUGCAUAGCCGACCUGAGAGGGUGAUCGGCCACACUGGAACUGAGACACGGUCCAGACUCCUACGGGAGGCAGCAGUAGGGAAUCUUCCGCAAUGGGCGAAAGCCUGACGGAGCAACGCCGCGUGAGUGAUGAAGGUCCUCGGAUCGUAAAACUUUGUUAUUAGGGAAGAACAUAUGUGUAAGUAACUGUGCACAUCUUGACGGUACCUAAUCAGAAAGCCACGGCUAACUACGU
This 496-nucleotide ribosomal RNA is filed under the name uncultured bacterium. RNAcentral's name for it is "partial 16S ribosomal RNA". It matches the Rfam family "Bacterial small subunit ribosomal RNA", at positions 28 to 506 of the family's 1533-position model. The record is from RNAcentral.